This 552-nucleotide long non-coding RNA is filed under the name Jatropha curcas. RNAcentral's name for it is "long non-coding RNA (JCUR_LNC001722)". Lineage: Eukaryota; Viridiplantae; Streptophyta; Magnoliopsida; Malpighiales; Euphorbiaceae. The record is from RNAcentral.
ACCUUAAAAGCGAAGGAGAAUCCUUUUCGUUUUUAGUAAGAGCAUCCUUCCGUAAAAAUAUUUUCCAAAUAAUGCUAUCGAAAAUCUUUUGUUUAAAGGAAAGCAAAAUCGUGUUUUAUUCUCUUACCAAAAAGGAUAAAAUAAAUUUUUGGUAACAAAGAUUCUCAUAUCUUCUAAAUAAGGAAAGAAGAUAUUUUGAUUUUAAAUGAAAUGUCCACUUUCCAAAAGCAAGGGACACGAUGCUCCCUAUAAAUAGGAGCUUUCACGUCUUGAGCUAUGGUGGAAAUAAGAGUUUUUGUUUUAAGAGCAUUCUCUCAUUGAUCAAAUCUUUAUCUCUCAAAACUUACUCUCUACCCCCCAUUUUUCUUUUCAUCUUUACACUUAACGUUUUUAUCUUUAAAGAGAAAAGAAUUUUUACAACUACUUUUGAAAAACGGUUCUGAGUUCUAAACGAUUUUCUAAUCUGGUAAACUGUUUUUCCUGUGCUUAUAUGUGCGUUUCUUUCUGUCUAUUUAGAUUCUGUUAUCUAUAGUAGACAGGCUUUUAUUUGAU